GGAGGGGUUCCCGAGUGGCCAAAGGGAACAGACUGUAAAUCUGUCGGCGAAGCCUUCGGAGGUUCGAAUCCUCCCCCCUCCACCA
RNAcentral lists this transfer RNA (85 nucleotides) under Desulfobulbus propionicus. RNAcentral's name for it is "tRNA-Tyr". It matches the Rfam family "tRNA". Rfam says of the family: Transfer RNA (tRNA) molecules are approximately 80 nucleotides in length. Their secondary structure includes four short double-helical elements and three loops (D, anti-codon, and T loops). Further hydrogen bonds mediate the characteristic L-shaped molecular structure. tRNAs have two regions of fundamental functional importance: the anti-codon, which is responsible for specific mRNA codon recognition, and the 3' end, to which the tRNAs corresponding amino acid is attached (by aminoacyl-tRNA synthetases). tRNAs cope with the degeneracy of the genetic code in two manners: having more than one tRNA (with a specific anti-codon) for a particular amino acid; and 'wobble' base-pairing, i.e. permitting non-standard base-pairing at the 3rd anti-codon position. The record is from RNAcentral. RNAcentral also lists the same sequence under 8 other names. Lineage: Bacteria; Pseudomonadati; Thermodesulfobacteriota; Desulfobulbia; Desulfobulbales; Desulfobulbaceae.